This 3272-nucleotide long non-coding RNA is filed under the name Homo sapiens (human). RNAcentral describes it as "HSALNT0307818". Lineage: Eukaryota; Metazoa; Chordata; Mammalia; Primates; Hominidae. The record is from RNAcentral.
CAUUUUACUGAUAGUUCCUCAAUUUUCUCCCCAGGUACUUCCUCACUUGCACCUUCAAUUUUUGUGUCUAUUCUUGUUUUAAAUAGUCUUCAUAGGAAAUCUUACCUAGUUUCAAAUAUUGUUGGAACUCAGAUUUCUAAAUCUAUGACACCAACACAACAUCUCUUUUGAAAUGCAGAUUCAUACAUCUAUCAAACUCCCUCCUAAAUAUAAUUCCCAUUAAGUGUAUUGAAGUUUCAUCAAACUCUACAUAUCUGAAAAAUAGUUAUUUCCCUCACCUUGCCCCUCACUCUAAUAUGAACAAAUGUAUUUCUUCUAUGCUACUUUAAUCAUUAUAGAUUUUUCCUCUUUCACCUUUCUCUCAUGUAAUUAUUGACUGAGGUGAUUUUUUUAGAUAUUAAAUAUUUCUUGAAUAUCUCCACAUCUUUAUUCCUAUCCUGCCCAUAUCAGCUAGUAUGGCCAGGAAAACAGAAACCACUUUAGGUAGAAGGUAUUUAAUACAGGAAAUUAGAAACAACAUGGUUGGAAAUCAGAGGCAGGAAACAUCAGAAGAAAGUGGUCUGGUAUUUAGAGAACCCAGAAAUGCAGGAAUCAUAAAGUUGAUGCCAAUAAUCUCAACCUCCUGCAGGAUGAAGUGAGUUCUAAGAGCUCUGUACUCAUUAUAGAUCUUGGUCCCUCUAAAAUACCCCUUGAAGCUUUGUGGGAUCAAUUCCUAUACAUUCAGAAGCUAUGUCUGUCUGUCUGAGGGCUUUAUCUGGCUGUACAGACAUGCUGCAUGUGGGGCAGGACAUGAGUAUCAGAAAAUGAAUGCCCCAGGAACAACCUUCAACCACUGAGGAUCAGAAGUUGGUGAAUGAACAUGGCACCUCCUUACCCUCAGUGGAACAAUUCUGAAGUCUAGUCUAUAUAAUCCCUCCAAGGGUUUCCAGCAGGAUUGAGCCUCAGUUGACUACAGCUGUAAUCCAUAUGUCGAUGUCAUUUUAUUGGCUUUCUUCCCUUCCUUGUGUCACUUUUCCACCUCUUCUGCUUCUGGAUGAACUCCAAAAUAAGCUACCUGCUCUCAAGUCUUGUUCAUAGUUUAAGAUAUGAUUUAUGCAUUGCUUUUGGAGGAGGACAAUGCUUCUCUUUCUUUUCAAACUUCCACAUUUUAUGAGAGUGCAUCUUCUUGGCAGAAUUUAACUCAGAAAAUUUCUUGCAAGUGUCUGGCAAAUACAGUUUUUAGGCUCUUAAUUCUUGUGAUAGAGGGAACCAAUGGUUCCAGCAAGGGAAUGGGAAAUAUGAGAGCACGAAGAUAAUGGGUUUAGGAGAAAAUUUGAAAGUAAAAUAAAUAGGUCCUUGUGGCCAAAUUAAAUAGGACCUCGUGAAUUUUAAAUUCCCUCAAUUUAAUGUUGAGGAAAUGAAUAAAAAAAAGAAGAGAAGAGAUAGUACAUUCUAACUUUCACCUAUUUGUUUAUUCAUUUACUUAACAAACAUUGAUUGAGUUUGUACUAUGUCUCAUUUAGCAUGUCAAAGCUCUGGGAAUAAAAGAUGACUGAAACAGGAUUCUUUUCCCUAGGAAGGUCACAGUCUGAUAGAGGAGGUAAAAACACAUCCAGUCAACUAUAACACAAUGUGAUAUAUUAAGCUUUUACUCUGCCACCAUUAUAUUUAAUGUACUGAGGGAAGACAAAUGAGUGAACAACUAAUUAUAUUGGGGAAAGUAUUUGGGAAGACUCUAGAGAAGAUGUAACAAUUGUCUUUAAUAUUAAAAAAUGAUCUUUCUAAGGAGAGAUAUGUGGCAAAGAUGGUUCAGGAACCUAGAUUGGUGCAAAGGUCAGUUUCUUAUGGCAAAGGACAGGAUGAAGGUGUCAUUCUAGGCUUUUAGAAUGUGUAUGUGUUUAUGCAUGCGCUUGAAGUAUUUUAAACACUCUUCUUAUGUGUUUUAAGUAUUUAAAAUCCAGGAAACAAGUGAUAUAGUGCUCACUCUUUACUCUUGCUCUCCUAACAUGCAUAUUUUAUCUAUUUAAAGCUAUUUGGAGAUCAUUUUCCACUCCUGCAUUUAAGAGUUGUAUGUAUAUAUAUAUGUACUUUCUCUUUCCAUGCCCUUAAAUUCUCAUUUAGGAAUACCUCUUGGACACUCAGUCAUUCUUACAGAGAAAAUAGUGAGACAGAGUUUUAAAAAUAUUUAUUUUCAAAUGUGAAAUAGAACCUAUUAUAUGAGUCCAUUUUCACACUGUUAUGAAGAAAUACCUGAGACUGGCUUCAGAAUGAUAGCAUGCUUCCUAAAGCCCUACCAUAAAUAGCAUUAUUUUCAACAUGGCCAAUUUUCUAAUAUACCAAUACUCAUAUAAAACAGGGAUCUUAGAAAUCAGCAGUUUCAGUUCCAGGUCUUCUGAAAGCUCAUAUAAUUCUUCUGAAUUUUUACCGACAGCUUUGGGGAUUGUACUUUUGAUGGUAGGGCCAGCUUUUCUUACAAAUUUUUCCUUUCCUUUAAUUUGAAAAUAAUAUUUACUACAAAUGCUUUGGUUUCUUAUUAUAAUUGCCAUCAUACAGUUAAUGAAAACUAAAUUUUAUUAUUAUAACACCUAACUAUGAACCUCAAAUUCAGACUGUCUUGGUUUGUUUUUUUGCAAAAGUGGUGUAAGUUCCCCAACAAUCUGAUCAUUGAAUUUAUACUUACUCUUUACCCAAAGUUAAACAUAUCUUAAUUGGACAGUGUCCUAAUAAAAUAGUGUUAGGUAUUAUAUCCAGUCUCUCAAUGCUCAUCAGGAUUUAUUCUCAUGCUUAUUUUACUAUACUUGCUUUUCUAUUUUUUUUUUUGCCUUUUUAAUCUUCUCAUGUUUGCCUUCAAAUGAGUAAGAAGAUGGAGUGUGGGUGAUAAAAUGAGAGGAGUCCAGGUGUUUCAUUAAUAUGAAGGACAUUCCACUACUUAAAAAAAAAAGUUUGUGAUUUGAGAUCAAAUGGGGAAGAUAAAGUUGAAAAGUGCUGACAUGUUAUCAAAUCAUCAGCAUUAUGAAACAGCAGGUACCAGAGCCGUUCUAGAUAUUCAUUUAUGUUGACACUUUUAGGACACAAGGGAGAGAGUGUGGCUGUCAGUUAUCUCAUUUUGUUACUUUUGUAAAAGAUCUGCUGAUUCUUUGGGUAUAGCUCUGGUGUCAUUUCAAGUUUUUCCUGGCUCUAAGCAUCACGUCAUCGCCCUGGCAUCCUGUGCCUAUCUCUAACUGUACUAUUUCCUUUCUUCUCAAUUUAUGUGACUUUUUUCAAGAUACUUCAGUAUUUUAUCUCAUUAAGCA